Molecule: long non-coding RNA, 193 nt
Organism: Ficedula albicollis (Collared flycatcher)
Lineage: Eukaryota; Metazoa; Chordata; Aves; Passeriformes; Muscicapidae
Exons: 3
Source: RefSeq, a predicted model, not a curated record
GCUGCGCCGCUGCCGCCGGCCCCGCUGCCCGCCGAGCUGCGCCGACGGCUGCAGGACUUGGAUCGGGAUGAGGAGAGCCUGGGAGAGAAGGAGAGCGUCCAGGAGCAGCUGAGCCUCAUCCAUGGGUUCCUGCAGGCCGAGGUGCAGCUGCAGCUCAGCGAGCUCGAGGCCAAGCUGCGCCGGGAGGAGCUGU